RNAcentral lists this transfer RNA (75 nucleotides) under Moraxella bovoculi. RNAcentral's name for it is "tRNA-Arg". It matches the Rfam family "tRNA". Rfam says of the family: Transfer RNA (tRNA) molecules are approximately 80 nucleotides in length. The record is from RNAcentral. Lineage: Bacteria; Pseudomonadati; Pseudomonadota; Gammaproteobacteria; Moraxellales; Moraxellaceae.
GUUCCCAUGAUGUAAUGGAUAGCAUAACUGCCUUCUAAGCAGUUCGUCUAGGUUCGAGUCCUAGUGGGAAUGCCA